UACAGAGGUCCCGAGCGUUGUUCGGAUUCACUGGGCGUAAAGGGUGCGCAGGUGGGUUUGCAAGUUUGAUGUGAAAGCCCCGGGCUUAACCCGGGAAUGGCAUUGAAUACUGCAGAUCUGGAGGAUUGGAGGGGGGACUGGAAUUCUGGGUGUAGCAGUGAAAUGCGUAGAUAUCAAGAGGAACACCAGUGGCGAAGGCGAGUCCCUGGACAAUACCUGACACUGAGGCACGAAAGCCAAGGGAGCAAACAGG
RNAcentral lists this ribosomal RNA (253 nucleotides) under uncultured bacterium. Its description in RNAcentral is "partial 16S ribosomal RNA". It matches the Rfam family "Bacterial small subunit ribosomal RNA", at positions 524 to 776 of the family's 1533-position model. The record is from RNAcentral.